This 443-nucleotide ribosomal RNA is filed under the name uncultured bacterium. RNAcentral describes it as "partial 16S ribosomal RNA". It matches the Rfam family "Bacterial small subunit ribosomal RNA", at positions 338 to 795 of the family's 1533-position model. The record is from RNAcentral.
CCUACGGGAGGCAGCAGUGGGGAAUAUUGGACAAUGGGGGGAACUCUGACCCAGCGACGCCGCGUGAGUGAAGAAGUUCUUCGGAAUGUAAAGUUCUUUUCUCAGGGAAGAAAGAAAUGACGGUACCUUAGUAAGAAGCCUCGGCUAACUACGUGCCAGCAGCCGCGGUAAUACGUAGGGGGCGAGCGUUAUCCGGAAUGACUGGGCGUAAAGGGGGCGUAGGCGGUGUUGCAAGUCAGUAGUGAAACGCCAGGGCCCAACCUCCGGACUGCUUUUGAAACUGUUGGACUUGAGUGCAGGAGGGGUAAGUGGAAUUCCUAGUGUAGCGGUGGAAUGCGUAGAUAUUAGGAGGAACACCAGUGGCGAAGGCGGGUUGCUGGACUGUAACUGACGUUGAGGCACGAAAGCGUGGGGAGCAAACAGGAUUAGAUACCCGAGUAGUC